AAUAGAUACCCCGGUAGUCCACGCCGUAAACGAUGAGUGCUAAGUGUUAGAGGGUUUCCGCCCUUUAGUGCUGCAGCUAACGCAUUAAGCACUCCGCCUGGGGAGUACGGCCGCAAGGCUGAAACUCAAAGGAAUUGACGGGGGCCCGCACAAGCGGUGGAGCAUGUGGUUUAAUUCGAAGCAACGCGAAGAACCUUACCAGGUCUUGACAUCCUUUGCCAACCCUAGAGAUAGGGCGUUCCCCUUCGGGGGACAGAGUGACAGGUGGUGCAUGGUUGUCGUCAGCUCGUGUCGUGAGAUGUUGGGUUAAGUCCCGCAACGAGCGCAACCCUUGAUCUUAGUUGCCAGCAUUCAGUUGGGCACUCUAAGGUGACUGCCGGUGACAAACCGGAGGAAGGUGGGGAUGACGUCAAAUCAUCAUGCCCCUUAUGACCUGGGCUACACACGUGCUACAAUGGAUGGUACAAAGAGCUGCGAACCCGCGAGGGUAAGCGAAUCUCAUAAAGCCAUUCUCAGUUCGGAUUGUAGG
This 529-nucleotide ribosomal RNA is filed under the name uncultured bacterium. RNAcentral's name for it is "bacterial SSU rRNA". It matches the Rfam family "Bacterial small subunit ribosomal RNA", at positions 777 to 1304 of the family's 1533-position model. The record is from RNAcentral.